This 1360-nucleotide long non-coding RNA is filed under the name Numida meleagris (helmeted guineafowl). RNAcentral describes it as "lncRNA (ENSNMEG00000018981.1)". The record is from RNAcentral. Lineage: Eukaryota; Metazoa; Chordata; Aves; Galliformes; Numididae.
UGCUAGUUCAGAGCCCAUCACUAUGUCUUUAAAGUUAGUAAUCGUUUUUUUAACUCAUUUGCGUUACUUUUCAUUGUUGCUUUCACACCAGAAGCAGGAUGUGGUAUUGACCCUUUUAUUGUCAAUUGUUAUUUGAGAACAGCUCGAUGUCUUUGGCACACACAUCAAACCAGACUUUGAGCAGAGCUAAAUGUGGCUUUGCUUUGAGAACUUCAAUGGAGCCAUGGCCCUUUGCAUUUACAGAGGAGCUGUCUGCAAUGAAAAGUCCCUUUGGCUUCUUGGCUAAACCAAAAGGUUGCAUAACAUGUGCCGUAAGUGGCAACUGAAUUGAAAAACUGGUUAUCUGUAUGGUGGGCAAAAGAGAAAGAUAUUUUGGCAUAUCUCAGUUUCCCUCAGGAUUUGCACCAGGAUAACCUCCUGGAAAGUGCCAGGAGCCUCUCUUGAACGUUCAGUGCCUUCAGACUCCUGUUGGUAUGGAUGGAAACUAAAAACUUUUGAUAGUGGAGAGAUUUAACUCUGAGGGGCUGCAGAAAAAAAGAUGCGUUCCUGUUCCAGGACCUCCAGGUGCACAUAAGUGAUGCUUUUGAGAGGAUCUGCAGAUGGCUGCCAUUUAUCAAGACAGAUGAACUCAUUUGCAGGAAGAGGAAAGGCAGAGAUACAAAGAUUGACAUUUCUACUGUGUGGUUUGAAGCUAAAAUGUAAAGCCCGGGGUCCCUCCUGUCCGUGGAAUGCUCAACCGCUAAGUGCUCUCUGCUGGUUAUGGGAUCAAGAUGUGUUUGCUGGCUUUCACCUCGCAUAACUCUGAGAGCAGAAAAUAACCAUGUCCACCUGAGCAGUCACCCUUGUGAAUGAAAAAGACAUAUGUUUCAGUAGGAUGGCUAUUUUAAACAAAUUAUUUCAGGAGAAGAUGCAGCAUGAUAUACAGGCGCCUCUUUCCUCCUGUUGACAACAAAAGAAGUCUAAGCUGCAGGUGUGUGUCCUAAGGGUGGGUGAGAUGAAUCCCUCUCCUUUUUCUGCUGAAGGAAGGAAGAAGUUGGGAUAAAGGAGAAAAUGCUCAGGUUUCUCUGGGAAAGGGCAGUGUAGGCUGAGGUCACAUCUUCUCAGUGUCCUGUACCAGAGAUGCUAAUGGAUCUCAGCUUGUUUAAUAACUACAAGAAAGGCAGAUCAGGAAUGCCAGCUCAUAAAAAAAGAAGCAAACAAAACAGGCUGUCUUGGCUCCCACCAUGUGACAGCAGAAAUAUUACUGGCCAAGUGGAAAAAGACAAAAUCUGUUGAGGAAGAAAUGCUAUUUUCAAGCUUUAUAAGAGGAAUCACAAACAUUAAGAAUAAACAGACUGGGAAGUAGAAAAUAUUGGUUUUG